Molecule: non-coding RNA, 84 nt
Organism: Podarcis lilfordi (Lilford's wall lizard)
Lineage: Eukaryota; Metazoa; Chordata; Lepidosauria; Squamata; Lacertidae
Source: the annotation of a GenBank genome assembly
GGCGAAGGGCCAUAGCUCUGUGGCAGAGCAUCUGCUUUGCAUGCAGAAGGUCCCAGGUUCAAUCCCCAGAUAGGAUUCCUGCCU